Molecule: transfer RNA, 66 nt
Filed under: Empis separata
Lineage: Eukaryota; Metazoa; Arthropoda; Insecta; Diptera; Empididae
Description: tRNA-Leu
Source: RNAcentral
GCUAUUUUGGCAGAUAAAUGCAAUAAAUUUAGAAUUUAUUAAUGUAAUUUUUUUUUACAAAUAGUA